UACGUAGGGUGCGAGCGUUGUCCGGAAUUACUGGGCGUAAAGAGCUCGUAGGUGGUUUGUCGCGUUGUUCGUGAAAACCGGGGGCUUAACCCUCGGCGUGCGGGCGAUACGGGCAGACUUGAGUACUGCAGGGGAGACUGGAAUUCCUGGUGUAGCGGUGGAAUGCGUAGAUAUCAGGAGGAACACCGGUGGCGAAGGCGGGUCUCUGGGCAGUAACUGACGCUGAGGAGCGAAAGCGUGGGGAGCGAACAGG
RNAcentral lists this ribosomal RNA (253 nucleotides) under uncultured bacterium. RNAcentral describes it as "partial 16S ribosomal RNA". It matches the Rfam family "Bacterial small subunit ribosomal RNA", at positions 524 to 776 of the family's 1533-position model. The record is from RNAcentral.